This 631-nucleotide ribosomal RNA is filed under the name uncultured fungus. RNAcentral's name for it is "eukaryotic LSU rRNA". The stretch from base 224 to 377 matches the Rfam family "5.8S ribosomal RNA". Lineage: Eukaryota; Fungi. The record is from RNAcentral.
AGAGGAAGUAAAAGUCGUAACAAGGUUUCCGUAGGUGAACCUGCGGAAGGAUCAUUAAUGAUUGCGAAUAGUUGCCUUCGGUGCUGGCCUUGCAGGUGCACGUUGGUGGCUUUCAUCCAAUACCCUUGUGAACCUCUGGCCUCUUGCUAGCUUUGGCUUGCAGAGGAAUUUACACAUACUCGAAUGUAAUGAAAUCUAUUGUUGUGCGCAAGCACUAAUGUACAACUUUCAACAACGGAUCUCUUGGCUCUCGCAUCGAUGAAGAACGCAGCGAAAUGCGAUAAGUAAUGUGAAUUGCAGAAUUCAGUGAAUCAUCGAAUCUUUGAACGCACCUUGCACCCUUUGGUAUUCUGAAGGGUAUGCUCGUUUGAGUGUCAUUGUACUCUCACACUUCUGAUCCUUUGGAUUCAGGAGCGGUGGACUUGGGUGUUUGCUGCUUUGCUUGUGGCUCACCUUAAAUGCAUCAGUGCAUCUCUUGGUUGGACAUAGUACAGCGUGAUAAGUGUCUUCGCUGGCUCCUCGAAAGAGGGUGGCUAAUCAGGGCUCUGUGCUUUCAAACUGUCUUCAGACAAUUCUGACAACUUGACCUCAAAUCGAGUAGGACUACCCGCUGAACUUAAGCAUAUCAAUA